GGUUUGCUUUAGUAUCAGUCGUGGCAGUUAUGUUCUCUUGUCCUUGUUUAUUGUGUUUUCAGCACCAGUUUCUGUAGCUGUAGGGUGUCCAUUUUAGAUCUUGAGUCGCCACAUCACGCCAUUGUGGUUUUUUCCCAUUGGCUGACCACCUCUGUAAUAGCAUAAGGGGCUUCAUAGGUAAUUGGGCUUGGGUGUGUGGCAGGUACACCCACCCCUACAGGAAACGAAACUUCUCCGGGCAGGAAGGAGAGGAAAAAAAAACCCACCUCCGUAACAGGUGUCUUGAGCCACUUUCAAGGCAGGCCUCGUCCUCAGGACUUCAUCUGUUGGGCAGUCUUGGUUGCCACAUUCAAAGCUCUUGCAACAGAAGGUAAGAAUUGAACCUCAGGCUGAAAGCAGAAUAAGAAUCCAAAAGGCAGAAGGAAAAUCAAUGUUCCCAAGAAUCAGAAAUUCAGAAAAGGAUGGAGAAAAUGGUAAUAAAACUUCUCCUCAGUACAGUACCUGAACACAUACAGGAUCUUUUCCUUCCUUUCAAGCUUACGAAUCCUCAUAGGAAGUCAGCCUGUGUCAAAAAUUAGAACAAGCUUUUCUUCUUCUUUUUUCUUUUUGUCCUUCUGUAAUGGCACUGUGUGUCCUCCUGCAAGGCUCUUGGAGGUGUGGAGGAGCUCCCUGCAGCACACAUUCGUUCUUGGAAAGUUGAUAAAUUCAAGGACUUGGCUUCUUUAGUGAAGAUGAGCUUCAAGUUCAGGGGUUACAUUGGUGCUUGCUUUUGUUUCAGGUCUGUCCCAAAGCCCAUGGGACGUGCUCAAAUGAUAAAUCAGAUGCAGGUAAAGACCGUGGGGCAGACUUAGUCUGUGCUUCACUCUUAUAUCUUCCAGGGCAGUUCUGCUGAAUUAUGGUUUCUACAAGAAGCUGUAUGUUGCACAGGGUCCCAUAACUAGUCCUGUGCCUGUCGCAACCCAUCCAACCUGAUCCAUAUCAGGGGCAAGCAGCAGAAACAAGCCUGUUUCUUUCCCAUUGGUGCCUGGCUCCAGCGUGGGGAAAGUUUUUCUGGGAAGGCAGGGAGAAAGCUCCAAAGAAAUCACAAAUAUCACCCCAGAAGAGCCUGAGACUCCUGCUGCUUGAGGGCUAGGCUGGUGCUGACUUGUGGGUGGACUCUUAAGAUGCUGGGGAAGAAGGCAAACAACAUGUAGCAAAAAGGCUUGCGGGAGAAGGAUCUGUCAAAACCCCUUUUCUCUGGUUGGAAAAACCCCCAGCAAAUGCUGACAGCCACCCAGGAGAAGCAGGGUCUCCCAAGGGAGUGGAGGAGGGAUCUCAGAGGGGUUGCAUGGGGCUGUGGGUUCCAGGGACAGAGUGAGCCCUGAGUCCUCUAUGAAGUGAGGGGAAAAAAUUGCAUUCAGGCACAGUCAUUAUGGCAACACAGAGGCUUCUGGUAAGCUGUGCUUGUUUACUUGCAUCAUCAUGACAACAACAAUAAUGAAAUCCAUUUCCUUACUCUUUCUCUCUGUGCAAUGGAUGUCACUGUUGCUCUCCGCAGGAAAGUCACCAAGUGCUGGAUCCCUAGCCUGGGAUGGCAGGGAACAGAGUUCUGCUCCUCCUGGGAUGGCUCAUGUCCAAGGCCAGCAUUGCUCCUUUCUAUGCCAGGGACACUGCAGGAGACCUGGCAGGCGCAUCCCAGGAGUGCUCAUCCCUUCUUCCUUUCCUCCUCUCAGCUCAAGCCCUUGUCCUUGCUGAGAUAGCCCUGCUGACCCUGGACCCACCCUGGAGCAUGAUACUUCCAGGAGAGAGCAUGAUCCUUAGGUGCUGGGGCUCCCGCUUGCUGUGGCAGCACCCCACGGCUUGGUACAAUGGCAGCCUCUUGGCACCCACAGAUACGUACACUUAGAGGAUCAGAAUGAGUGUCAGAGCCCUGGCUCCAGGCACAGCAACUGUGUCACCCUGACUGUCUGCUAUGACUGGCUGAUCCUCUGGGUCCUGUUGUACAUGGUGUUCAAGGGGGAACUGCUGCCCAUGCAGUGCUGGGGAUGGGAUGGCAGGGCACAUCUUUGGUGCGGUAUUACAGAGAUGGAGCUGGCAUCACUGCGAUACGCCUCAGCAGAGCAGCAUUCCAUCUCCUGAUCUGAGACCCACCACAGUGACAGGUAUCACUGCUCCUUUUCAUCGCUAAAAGGCAGUCUUGGGUUUUAUACGUUUCCACUGAAGGUAAAUUCCUGUGCCUUUGGGCUCUCUGUCUUCCCAGGGUCUCAUCUGGUGGGAGCUGCAGGACAGAGAGGGUGAGGGGUUCUGUAUGAUGUCUGAGCUGGGUCUGUGCUACCAAUGCCAGUGCAGGAAACCUGGCACCUGCCCACCACCAGAAAAAGACAUGCCCGGUCACAACCCCCAGCCUGGCUCUAGGACACUCCCCACACCCAUCUUGGGGUCUUGGCCCUGCACAGCCUUGGUGGGGUGGGAAGAUUGUCCCUUCCUUCCUGCAUCUUUAGAGGUGAUGCAGCCCCAGAAGGUCCAUCCGACAAGAUGUGCCCCAUCUCCACCCUUCCUCACACUGUGUCCAUCUCUCCCCAACCCCAUCCAUCUCUCCCCACUGCCCAUGCCUGUCUCGUUGUCCCAUCCCCCUCCACAUGUCCCUCUGUCCCCCUCUGCAUGUCUUGCCACCCCCCAAAUGCUUUCUACCGAAAUGUACCCCAUGUGAGUUUUUCCCCACAUGACAUUUUUUCCCGUGUGACACCCCCAUGCACAUCCCCUGCCCUCCUAUCUCGUGCUCCCACUCCCCUCUCCCUCCACCCCCCCCUCCACCCCACCUAUUCCACACUAGAGUGCACAGAAAUUUGGUAGGGGACGCAGCCAGGACGGCUGACCCCAACUGACCAAAGGGAUAUUCCAGAUCAUAUGAUGUCAUGCUCAGUAAUAAAAUUAGGGGGGAGAUUGGUAGGGGGGACACUGCUCGGGGUCUGGCUGGGCUUUGGUCUGUUAGUGGUGAGCAAUUGUUUUCAUUUGCAUCGCUUGUCUUGGAUUUUACUUUUCUGUCUUUGUGUCCCCAUCCCCCUUACAAUUUGUUGUUGUUUUUUUUUUAA
Molecule: long non-coding RNA, 3071 nt
Organism: Aquila chrysaetos chrysaetos
Lineage: Eukaryota; Metazoa; Chordata; Aves; Accipitriformes; Accipitridae
Exons: 4
Source: RefSeq, a predicted model, not a curated record